AGAAUCAACGCUGGCGGCGUGCCUAACACAUGCAAGUCGCACGAGAAAGUGGAGCAAUCCACGAGUACAGUGGCGCACGGGUGAGUAACACGUGAAUGAUCUACCUCCGAGUGGGGAAUAACUGAGAGAAAUCUUAGCUAAUACCGCAUAAUACCCACGGGUCAAAGCAGCAAUGCGCUUGGAGAGGAGUUCGCGGCCGAUUAGCUAGUUGGCGGGGUAAUGGCCCACCAAGACUAUGAUCGGUA
This 245-nucleotide ribosomal RNA is filed under the name uncultured bacterium. RNAcentral describes it as "partial small subunit ribosomal RNA". It matches the Rfam family "Bacterial small subunit ribosomal RNA", at positions 26 to 285 of the family's 1533-position model. The record is from RNAcentral.